UACGGGGGGGGCAAGCGUUGUUCGGAAUUACUGGGCGUAAAGCGCGCGUAGGCGGCUAAUUAAGUCAAAUGUGAAAUCCCCGAGCUUAACUUGGGAAUUGCAUUCGAUACUGGUUAGCUAGAGUGUGGGAGAGGAUGGUAGAAUUCCAGGUGUAGCGGUGAAAUGCGUAGAGAUCUGGAGGAAUACCGAUGGCGAAGGCAGCCAUCUGGCCUAACACUGACGCUGAGGUGCGAAAGCAUGGGGAGCAAACAGG
Molecule: ribosomal RNA, 253 nt
Filed under: uncultured bacterium
Lineage: Bacteria
Description: partial 16S ribosomal RNA
Rfam family: Bacterial small subunit ribosomal RNA
Source: RNAcentral